AUGCCUGUUAGACCGAAGUGUAAAUCAAUGGCUUAAAAGCGUCGGGACGGCAGACCACAGUGCUGGAACACCCGACGUUCUCGCAGUCUCGACUGGAACGAGGGGCACAGGGGGUUGGCCGGACUCUCCUCAGUCUUCACAAGUUCCGCGCUUGGCAUGGGGAGGACUUUAACGUGUAGUUUGCAAACAGUACGAAAGAAGGUUGCUGCCACACUGAAGCCAUCAGGAGGCUCCGUCAAAUGCCAGACCAAAUCAAAUGCUCGCCUUUCCCUGACGUUUCACAAAUCCACCUCGCUACAACAUAUGGGGCACUCCAAGCUGUGACUUCCUGCAAAAUGCGUUUCCACUCAUCCGUCCGUCUUGAGCAGAAAAACAUGAUGAAAGGGCAUGGAUGGAUGCAGGCACGAGUGGGAAACCUUGGAGAAUGAAAAGAUGGCAGGCACAUGAUGGCUCAAGGCAAACGCUUCUGUCAUCAAGGUCACAGUAAGCAGUAUGCACCUUUCAUAGAUCAACUCGAUGGAGUUGAAGAAUUCUGUGUUUAUGCAUGCGAUGGAAAAAAAAAUGAAGCAUCCCUGAAAAAAACGUUCAAGCUUAUUUCUAUUUUUCAUGUUCCAAACCCUGCAGCACGACACACUUUGCUGCGACCGUCCUCUUAAGGGAAAAUGUAAACCGGGCAGUAGAGCGGAGAAAGGGCAAGCAGUUUGACGAUAAAUAGAUACAAUAAAGAAAAAACUCACACCGGCAAAUAAUACAAUAUCAGAGAGUGAGAGGACUAAAGUCUACUUGCUCUCCGUCGAAUUAAAACAAAAGUUUAUGAGGUUAUAAUUAACGUAGAAUAGGUUUUACAACUGCA
Long non-coding RNA from Hippocampus comes (tiger tail seahorse), 853 nucleotides. RefSeq lists it as uncharacterized. NCBI's taxonomy places the organism in Eukaryota, Metazoa, Chordata, Actinopteri, Syngnathiformes, Syngnathidae. The transcript has 4 exons. The record is from RefSeq and is a predicted model, not a curated record.